GUGGGGAAUUUUGGACAAUGGGCGAAAGCCUGAUCCAGCAAUGCCGCGUGCAGGAUGAAGGCCCUCGGGUUGUAAACUGCUUUUGUACGAAACGAAAAGCCUGGGGCUAAUAUCCCCGGGUCAUGACGGUACCGUAAGAAUAAGCACCGGCUAACUACGUGCCAGCAGCCGCGGUAAUACGUAGGGUGCAAGCGUUAAUCGGAAUUACUGGGCGUAAAGCGUGCGCAGGCGGUGCUGUAAGACAGGCGUGAAAUCCCCGGGCUCAACCUGGGAAUUGCGCUUGUGACUGCAGUGCUGGAGUGCGGCAGAGGGGGAUGGAAUUCCGCGUGUAGCAGUGAAAUGCGUAGAUAUGCGGAGGAACACCGAUGGCGAAGGCAAUCCCCUGGGCCUGCACUGACGCUCAUGCACGAAAGCGUGGGGAGCAAACAGGAUUAGAUACCCUAGUAGUCC
Molecule: ribosomal RNA, 450 nt
Filed under: uncultured bacterium
Lineage: Bacteria
Description: bacterial SSU rRNA
Rfam family: Bacterial small subunit ribosomal RNA
Source: RNAcentral